This 465-nucleotide ribosomal RNA is filed under the name Vreelandella stevensii. Its description in RNAcentral is "partial 16S ribosomal RNA". It matches the Rfam family "Bacterial small subunit ribosomal RNA", at positions 338 to 795 of the family's 1533-position model. The record is from RNAcentral. Lineage: Bacteria; Pseudomonadati; Pseudomonadota; Gammaproteobacteria; Oceanospirillales; Halomonadaceae.
CCUACGGGUGGCAGCAGUGGGGAAUAUUGGACAAUGGGGGGAACCCUGAUCCAGCCAUGCCGCGUGUGUGAAGAAGGCCCUCGGGUUGUAAAGCACUUUCAGUGAGGAAGAACGCCUGGUGGUUAAUACCCAUCAGGAAAGACAUCACUCACAGAAGAAGCACCGGCUAACUCCGUGCCAGCAGCCGCGGUAAUACGGAGGGUGCGAGCGUUAAUCGGAAUUACUAGGCGUAAAGCGCGCGUAGGUGGCUUGAUAAGCCGGUUGUGAAAGCCCCGGGCUCAACCUGGGAACGGCAUCCGGAACUGUCAAGCUAGAGAGCAGGAGAGGAAGGUAGAAUUCCCGGUGUAGCGGUGAAAUGCGUAGAGAUCGGGAGGAAUACCAGUGGCGAAGGCGGCCUUCUGGACUGACACUGACACUGAGGUGCGAAAGCGUGGGUAGCAAACAGGAUUAGAUACCCUGGUAGUA